Molecule: transfer RNA, 73 nt
Filed under: Parcubacteria group bacterium
Lineage: Bacteria
Also listed under: 1 other name
Description: tRNA-Arg
Rfam family: tRNA
About the family: Transfer RNA (tRNA) molecules are approximately 80 nucleotides in length.
Source: RNAcentral
GCGCCCGUAGCUUAGCGGAUAAAGCGCAAGGUUGCGGACCUUGAGACCGCUGGUUCGAUUCCUGCCGGGCGCA